Molecule: ribosomal RNA, 495 nt
Filed under: uncultured bacterium
Lineage: Bacteria
Description: partial 16S ribosomal RNA
Rfam family: Bacterial small subunit ribosomal RNA
Source: RNAcentral
GAUGAACGCUGGCGGCGUGCUUAACACAUGCAAGUCGAACGAAGCAUUUCGGUCUUAAUCUUCGGAAGCGGACUGAUCUGACUGAGUGGCGGACGGGUGAGUAACGCGUGGGUAACCUGCCCUGUACAGGGGGAUAACAGUUAGAAAUGACUGCUAACACCGCAUAAGCGCACAGGAAGGCAUCUUUCGGUGUGAAAAUAUUUAUAGGUACAGGAUGGGCCCGCGUCUGAUUAGCCAGUUGGCAGGGUAACGGCCUACCAAAGCAACGAUCAGUAGCCGGCUUGAGAGAGUGAACGGCCACAUUGGGACUGAGACACGGCCCAAACUCCUACGGGAGGCAGCAGUGGGGAAUAUUACACAAUGGGGGAAACCCUGAUGCAGCGACGCCGCGUGAGUGAAGAAGUAUUUCGGUAUGUAAAGCUCUAUCAGCAGGGAAGAAAAUGGCGGUACCUGACUAAGAAGCCCCGGCUAACUACGUGCCAGCAGCCGCCGCUG